Molecule: ribosomal RNA, 277 nt
Filed under: uncultured bacterium
Lineage: Bacteria
Description: partial 16S ribosomal RNA
Rfam family: Bacterial small subunit ribosomal RNA
Source: RNAcentral
GACGAACGCUGGCGGCGUGCUUAACACAUGCAAGUCGAGCGGUAAGGCCCUUCGGGGUACACGAGCGGCGAACGGGUGAGUAACACGUGGGUAAUCUGCCCUGCACUCUGGGAUAAGCCCGGGAAACUGGGUCUAAUACCGGAUACGACUCCGCUACGCAUGUGGUGGGGUGGAAAGUUCCGGCGGUGCAGGAUGAACCCGCGGCCUAUCAGCUUGUUGGUGGGGUAAUGGCCUACCAAGGCGACGACGGGUAGCCGGCCUGAGAGGGCGACCGGCC